CUUAGCCUACGGGGGGCAGCAGUGAGGAAUAUUGGUCAAUGGGCUUACGCCUGAACCAGCCAAGUCGCGUGAGGGAAGACUGCCCUAUGGGUUGUAAACCUCUUUUGUCAGGGAGCAACGCCGGCUACGUGUAGCCGGACUGAGAGUACCUGAAGAAAAAGCAUCGGCUAACUCCGUGCCAGCAGCCGCGGUAGUACGGAGGAUGCGAGCGUUAUCCGGAUUUAUUGGGUUUAAAGGGUGCGUAGGCGGGCUGUUAAGUCAGCGGUCAAAUGUCGGGGCUCAACCCCGGCCUGCCGUUGAAACUG
This 305-nucleotide ribosomal RNA is filed under the name uncultured bacterium. RNAcentral's name for it is "bacterial SSU rRNA". It matches the Rfam family "Bacterial small subunit ribosomal RNA", at positions 332 to 635 of the family's 1533-position model. The record is from RNAcentral.